UUCGCAUUCCCCUCGGGUUCUUGGCAACCAAAUCUCCCCGCUUUCUGGUACUCAAAAAGUAGUUAAAAUUGUGGGAAAAGUUAUUAAGCAAGAAGGCAAUACCGUUACCAUCGAAACAGCAGAUGGCAAACAAUAUAAAAUUCAGACUCCUUCUCAACACAGCGAGUAUUCUUCUAUAGUCGAAUUCGAAGCCAAAGUCAUAAAUAACUUCACUUUAGCUGAAUUGAACAGCACUAACUUUGACCCCAACUUUGAUUUAAAUCUCUACUUUAGGGCUCUCGCAGUCAGCCAGAGUUAUACCAAUCUUUUUUGAAGGAUUCGCGCUAUACCCGGAAAGUGUUUUUAGCUGUCUAAGU
Long non-coding RNA from Zophobas morio, 356 nucleotides. RefSeq lists it as uncharacterized. The transcript is spliced from 4 exons. NCBI's taxonomy places the organism in Eukaryota, Metazoa, Arthropoda, Insecta, Coleoptera, Tenebrionidae. The record is from RefSeq and is a predicted model, not a curated record.